CACCUAUUUAUAGGCACGGGGUACAACCCAUACAAAAUUACAUACAUGUCCUUUACAUUUGGUGAUAAUUCUAUAGCACUCUAUCGAGGUCUAAAUGGCCUUUUCAUCUUUAAGUCGGUUCCCUUUUCUGCGAACAUGUCGAAGCUUUCCUGCUUCACAGCUUCGGCGCUGUGUCAACCUUUGUAGCUUUUCCCUUUCUGAUACGAGUCCGAAGAUACCUGCUCACACAUUUUAAGCCGCUUCUCCCUUGAAGACCUUCGGCGACGAAGCAUAGACCCAACAGAUACAUCGCUGGCUUGGAACCCCUGGGUGGCCUGUUUGUGUUUGUGCGUCCUGUAUAUGUAUGUACACAACGAGCAGCCCUUUUUUGGGUGAUGUGCCGAGUUCCUAGCCAUGUAGCAGCGUGGAUCUGGAUGAGGAGGACAAGGCCAUGAGCAGGACUGCGGCCUCCUCCACUCCCAUCAGGACCCUCCGUUUCUUCACCACUUGGAGCCUGCUGCUUUUGGUGUUGUCUCUGACAGCGACUGCACUUGUUGCCGGACAGUGAUCCUCUUGCUGCUGCUGCUGCUGUGGCGGCGGCGGCCGCUGGUUUUGUUGUGGUUUCUUGGCGCUAUCGAGACCUAGCUCUUGCCUCCGCUUCUUCCUGUACCGGAUCCCACACGCGUUGCAGAGCGACUGCAACCAAACCAAAUUAACAAGAUUGCUCAUCCAAAACGCUGGUUUUUCUAAGUUAGUUUCUGGUUGAUUGCUUGCUCUGUUGAUCCUAAUACUGGAUAGGAACAAACAGCUGUGAUGGAGACAUGUAUGCAUGGAUGUCCCUAAACAAUAGGCUGGAGCAAUAAUAAGAUAUAUAUAA
This is a long non-coding RNA of Zea mays, 856 nucleotides long. RefSeq lists it as uncharacterized. Lineage: Eukaryota; Viridiplantae; Streptophyta; Magnoliopsida; Poales; Poaceae. The record is from RefSeq and is marked validated. The transcript has a single exon.